CGGGUAGGGGAUUAAAAGGGAACCAGGUGAAAAUCCUGGACAGUCCCGCUGCUGUGAAACUCUAUUUUAAACUUUCUGAAGAAUACUCAGUACCACUGAUGUGGCGUUGCACAUCGGGAAGGUUUCAGGAAGGGAGUCAGUCAGAAGACCUGCCAUCAUUCAU
RNAcentral lists this non-coding RNA (163 nucleotides) under uncultured Bacteroides sp. The record is from RNAcentral. Lineage: Bacteria; Pseudomonadati; Bacteroidota; Bacteroidia; Bacteroidales; Bacteroidaceae.